CAGAAAAUAGUUUUAUUUAAAAUAUUAAUUUUGGAGAUUAAUGAAAUAAGUUUAUUCUUUUUUUUCUGA
This 69-nucleotide transfer RNA is filed under the name Analcellicampa danfengensis. RNAcentral describes it as "tRNA-Pro". Lineage: Eukaryota; Metazoa; Arthropoda; Insecta; Hymenoptera; Tenthredinidae. RNAcentral also lists the same sequence under 1 other name. The record is from RNAcentral.